Molecule: non-coding RNA, 73 nt
Organism: Cordylochernes scorpioides
Lineage: Eukaryota; Metazoa; Arthropoda; Arachnida; Pseudoscorpiones; Chernetidae
Source: the annotation of a GenBank genome assembly
UCCAACCUGGUCUAAUUGGCUAGGCUAUCUGGCUUUCACCCAGAAGGCCUGGGUUCGAUUCCCGGCGUGGGAA